RNAcentral lists this ribosomal RNA (301 nucleotides) under uncultured bacterium. RNAcentral's name for it is "partial 16S ribosomal RNA". It matches the Rfam family "Bacterial small subunit ribosomal RNA", at positions 509 to 807 of the family's 1533-position model. The record is from RNAcentral.
CAGCAGCCGCGGUAAUACAGAGGGUGCGAGCGUUAAUCGGAUUUACUGGGCGUAAAGCGUGCGUAGGCGGCUUUUUAAGUCGGAUGUGAAAUCCCUGAGCUUAACUUAGGAAUUGCAUUCGAUACUGGGAAGCUAGAGUAUGGGAGAGGAUGGUAGAAUUCCAGGUGUAGCGGUGAAAUGCGUAGAGAUCUGGAGGAAUACCGAUGGCGAAGGCAGCCAUCUGGCCUAAUACUGACGCUGAGGUACGAAAGCAUGGGGAGCAAACAGGAUUAGAUACCCGGGUAGUCCCUGUCUCUUAUAC